AUUCAUGUUCCAUCUUGAUAUUUAGUACAAUGUUUUUACAAAUAACAAUAAUACAUGAAUUGCCUUAACAGAUAGGCAUAUGAUACAACAAGUAAACUAGGUCACCUGUAAUCAAAUCUGUCUUGAAUGUCUGUUUAAAGAUUUCUUGAGAAUACAUGUAGUUUUGAGGGUCAACAAAAGGUUGACGAGUGUUACAGGUUUUCUGCUACUGCAGUAAUACUUUUAAUAAGUCUAAAAAGUAUUAUCUUUGUAUGUAUAACAAUAGUUAAAACAAUGUUUGCAAUGAGUCUUUAAAAGCCCAAAAUGUAUUUCGGUGUAAGUAAAUCUAUACUUUAAAAUGUGUUUGUAAUAAAUCCUUAAAAUCCAAAAUGUAUCUUUUGUAUAAGUAAAUACAUACUUUAAACUGUGUUCGUAAUAACCUUUGAAUAUUCUUGAAAACCAAACUGUUAUGUUACAUAAGUAAUUUCAUACUUAAAAAUAGUUUUGAAAGCAACUAAGCCCAUGGUUGUUAGUGAGAGAGAGAUAUUCUAGUUAAUGUUUUUAGUGAGUCCUAGAACCGAACUACCUAACUGAAUGUACCCCCUACAACGCUUCAUUGGACGUUGUACUAACAAUGGUAGAUACUUAUCACCCGCUUCGAUUAACCGGUCGAGAGUUGUAGCUAGCAACCACAGGUGGGGAUGUCAACCCCGUAUAGAUCUAUACAUAUGUAUCUCGCUCUGAAGAUUAACGAUUACAAUAUUGUGGGUAUGCUAAGUAUUUAAACUCAGCUAAUGAAUAAUGUCCUACUAAAAAAACCCUUAACUAAAAAAAGUUUAUGAAGAACUCUCGACCCAAACUUAAUUGUGAUUGGGUCAGUAGACAUAAUGAAUAUCGUUGUCUAGAGUUUAUAAAAGCCGAGUAUGUUUGAUAUGUAUGUAAAAGUGUAAUGUACUCGCUUUUAUAAAGAUGUAUGUUUCGAAGUAAUGAAGACAUGUACAUGUAUAAACGUUAUGUAUUUAAACAUAUAAAUAAACAUGCACAAUAAUAGUUUGAAUCCUUGAAAUACUACAAAAUUGACAAUGUCACAUAAAAAUCAUAUAUUUUAUAUCAUGUAGUAUUUUUUUGUGUGAACUAGUUAUUUCACGAUAAAAUAACCAUAAUACGUAUACGGAAAGUUUAUGCUAGUUUAUCUGUAACAAUAUGGUAAAUUGUUAAAUAAUAAUAUUUUUAUAAACUAGAAUUAUUGUAUUUUCGCAUAAAAAGAAAAUUGAUUUGUAUAACCAAAAUAUNAAAAUAUUUAGGUACAUGUGUUCCCCUCCGAAAUAAUUAAAAUAUUAAAAAGGGGUCGAAAGCACUCACUUUUGUAACGUGAACGAGGCUCGCGUUGUGAAACUUUUCAUGAAAGUUGUUACGUGACGUUCCUUGUCUUAAAGCGAACCACCGACUAUAUUUAUAUUUCCUAAUAAACCAAAGGGGUAGUUUUGAUAUUAAUUAUUAAGUAUAUGGUGGUCCUUGUUAAAAUAAAUAGACUCUAGAGUUUGAUUUUGCCAAAAUCAUACUUCAGGGACUAAUAUUGCGAAUUAUUCCCAUAACAGGGGUUAAACAUGUGCAUUUGAAUCUGAUUUGGAGCUCCAGGACUUAUUCUGUUAGGGUUUUCAGAUGGAGGGGUUGUUUCUGGAUAAAUUGAAUCACUUUUUUGGGAUUGGGACCUAUUUGAAUAAAUAAUUUAACAGUGGGGGUAGUUUAGUCAUUUCAUAAUUAAAAAUGCCUUAGGGUUUUAAGUCCCGUGUUUAAUGGUCCACUUAAAAGGAAUUAGGGCUUUACCCCGUUUCUUUUGUUCUGAUCGGGCAUCUGAAGCAAAGGUGAUACGAAUCGUUCAAGGAAGUCACGAGGGAAACAGAUGAACGGGAGAAACACGAAGGGAAUCAAGCAUUUGCCGCCGGUCGAUGAUUGAUCGUGAAGAAGGUAGAGCGCGCCGGCAGGCGAGAAGGAGGCACGAAGAUGGCUGCGAGGUCCGAUAGAUUUCGAUCGGUUGCAGGCUGAGGUUGCGUUUCCGAUGUUUCGGUCGAUCCGAAGGAAGAGAAGAGACGGCAGCAGAGGGUUCUCUCUUUCCCGUCCGGCUGCUAGAUGCGAGGAAAGAUGAGGUCCGAAGAGACGUAGGUAAGAGAAGCGAGCCGUGCUUUUCUCGUCCGACUGCGAGGUGUGAUGAGCGGCGUCGCAAACAGCGGUAGCAACAAGAGGAUACCCUUGAAGCUCUGUGGUUGACGGGAAUCGUAGAGAAGGAAAACGAAGGGAAAAGGCUCGAUCCUUGUCUGGCCGGUCCAAGAGAGAUGGAAACGAUCGCAGGUAUGCGAUUUGUUGAAGAAAAAGGGGUAACCGGAGGCAGUCAAGGUUUCGGUGGUGCUGGAUCGCUGGCACCGGUGAUGGAGUUCGGUACCAACUGAAGCUAUAAUGGUGAUCGGAAGUGAACCAGGUGGUGGUGGCUAGGAUUUUUCAACAACAGCAGCAGUCGUCGGUCAAGAGAAAGAGGUCGGGGGAUAAGAGGGGGCUGGCGCCUCCGGUGUUUGCUCCGGGGAAAUAUAGAGGGUAGAGGGAACAUUGAGUGGGUGAUAGAGGGGAGAGCUUCGGCAACAACAGUGGGGGCAGGUUGAAGAAAGAGUGCAGGUUAUAUUUUUAUGGGUUCCAGCUGGAUUUGUACAAUUGUGUUGGAGUGUUGUAUUGCCUAAUCCCUUUGAGUGUGUAAGUCAUCAAAACAAAAUGUAGAAGUAAUUUAUUUAUUUAUUUGUAUUUGGUGUGAAAUUUGGAAUUAUGAAUUUUUCCAUCUAUUAUGUGUAUAUUUUGUGUAUUUAGCUGUAUAUUUGAUCCAAUGGAUAUGUAUUGGUGUAUGUAUUCUUGAGAAAUUACAUAGGUUCAAUAAUUAUGUUUUUUGUGUAUGAAUUCAUGCAUUAUUUAAAAAAGGGAUAAU
This 2947-nucleotide long non-coding RNA is filed under the name Lactuca sativa (garden lettuce). Its description in RNAcentral is "long non-coding RNA (LSAT_LNC002010)". Lineage: Eukaryota; Viridiplantae; Streptophyta; Magnoliopsida; Asterales; Asteraceae. The record is from RNAcentral.